CAAUAGCGUAUAUUAAAGUUGUUGCAGUUAAAAGCUCGUAGUUGGAUUUGUGGCGUACGGUGUGUUCCGGGCACUUGUUGUCUGAGUAACCUGCCGUUGCCAUCCUUGGGUGGAACCUGUGUGGCAUUAGGUUGUCGUGCAGGGGAUGCCCAUCAUUUACUUGUGAAAAAUUAAGAGUGUUCAAAGACAGGCUUAUGCCGUUGAAUAUAUUAGCAUGGAAUAAUAAGAUAGGACUUGUUUGCUAUUUUGUUGGUUUGCGCAAAUAGGUAAUGAUUAAUAGGGACAGUUGGGGGUAGUUCGUAUUCCAUUGUCAGAGGUGAAAUUCUUGGAUUUUGGUAAGACGAACUACUGCGAAAGCAUUUACCAAGGAUGUUUUCAUUAAUCAAGAACGAAAGUUAGGGGAGUCGAAGAUGAUUAGAUA
This 421-nucleotide ribosomal RNA is filed under the name uncultured eukaryote. RNAcentral's name for it is "SSU rRNA". It matches the Rfam family "Eukaryotic small subunit ribosomal RNA", at positions 592 to 1014 of the family's 1831-position model. The record is from RNAcentral.